This 27-nucleotide non-coding RNA is filed under the name Mus musculus (house mouse). The record is from RNAcentral. Lineage: Eukaryota; Metazoa; Chordata; Mammalia; Rodentia; Muridae.
UGAAAUGCAAGUGCUUCGGCCCCUGGU